RNAcentral lists this ribosomal RNA (492 nucleotides) under uncultured bacterium. RNAcentral describes it as "partial 16S ribosomal RNA". It matches the Rfam family "Bacterial small subunit ribosomal RNA", at positions 29 to 507 of the family's 1533-position model. The record is from RNAcentral.
AGUGAACGCUGGCGGUAGGCCUAACACAUGCAAGUCGAACGGCAGCACAGUAAGAGCUUGCUCUUACGGGUGGCGAGUGGCGGACGGGUGAGGAAUACAUCGGAAUCUACUUUUUCGUGGGGGAUAACGUAGGGAAACUUACGCUAAUACCGCAUACGACCUACGGGUGAAAGCAGGGGAUCUUCGGACCUUGCGCGAUUGAAUGAGCCGAUGUCGGAUUAGCUAGUUGGCGGGGUAAAGGCCCACCAAGGCGACGAUCCGUAGCUGGUCUGAGAGGAUGAUCAGCCCCACUUGAACUGAGGCACGGUCCCGACUCCUACGGGAGGGAGCAGUGGGGAAUAUUGGACCAUGGGCGCAAGCCCUAUCCAGCCAUACCGCGUGGGUGAAGAAGGCCUUCGGGUUGUAAAGCCCCUUUGGUGGGAAAGAAAAGCAGCAGGUUAAUACCCCGCUGUUCUGACGGUACCCAAAGAAUAAGCACCGGCUAACUUCGUG